GACGAACGCUGGCGGCGUGCUUAACACAUGCAAGUCGAACGGAAAGGCCCUGCUUUUGUGGGGUGCUCGAGUGGCGAACGGGUGAGUAACACGUGAGUAACCUGCCCUUGACUUUGGGAUAACUUCAGGAAACUGGGGCUAAUACCGGAUAGGAGCUCCUGCUGCAUGGUGGGGGUUGGUAAGUUUCGGCGGUUGGGGAUGGACUCGCGGCUUAUCAGCUUGUUUGUGGGGUAGUGGCUUACCAAGGCUUUGACGGGUAGCCGGCCUGAGAGGGUGACCGGCCACAUUGGGACUGAGAUACGGCGCAGACUCCUACGGGAGGCAGCAGUGGGGAAUAUUGCACAAUGGGCGGAAGCCUGAUGCAGCAACGCCGCGUGCGGGAUGACGGCCUUCGGGUUGUAAACCGAUUUCGCCUGUGACGAAGAGUGAGUGACGGUAAUGGGUAAAGAAGCACCGGCUAACUACGUG
Molecule: ribosomal RNA, 468 nt
Filed under: uncultured bacterium
Lineage: Bacteria
Description: partial 16S ribosomal RNA
Rfam family: Bacterial small subunit ribosomal RNA
Source: RNAcentral